GAAAUGCGAUACGCAAUGCGAAUAGCAGAUCCGCGAGACAUUAGAUUUUCGAACGCACUUGGCGCUAGUUUACUAGCAUGUUUGUUUCAGUGUGUUUGGAGAGUUCUUAAUCACCAAAAAGAAUGUGAUUGAGGCUUAGGCUUCUCUCAUUAAAUAAGAGAGUGUAUGAGUUUCAUACACAAAAAUGAAGUAGUCACAUUUAUGUGAUCUCAUUUUUGCUGAUUCUCAAAUACAAACACUCCAAUCAUUCUCCUUUUUUGACACCUGAAAUCAAGCAAGAUCACCCGCUGAACUUAA
Molecule: unclassified non-coding RNA, 297 nt
Filed under: uncultured fungus
Lineage: Eukaryota; Fungi
Description: sequence contains ITS1
Rfam family: 5.8S ribosomal RNA (bases 1-95)
Source: RNAcentral